UACAGAGAGUGCAAGCGUUGCUCGGAUUUACUGGGCGUAAAGCGUACGCAGACGGUUUGGUAGGUCGGUUGUGAAAGCCCCGGGCUCAACCCGGGAACUGCAUCCGAAACCACCUCACUCGAGUAUGGGAGAGGGAAGCGGAAUUCCUGGUGUAGAGGUGAAAUUCGUAGAUAUCAGGAGGAACACCGGCGGCGAAGGCGGCUUCCUGGCCCAUUACUGACGUUCAGGUACGAAAGCGUGGGUAGCAAACAGG
Molecule: ribosomal RNA, 253 nt
Filed under: uncultured bacterium
Lineage: Bacteria
Description: partial 16S ribosomal RNA
Rfam family: Bacterial small subunit ribosomal RNA
Source: RNAcentral